UGGUUCUGGCAUNGAUGAAGAACGCAGCGAAAUGCGAUAAGUAAUGUGAAUUGCAGAAUUCAGUGAAUCAUCGAAUCUUUGAACGCACAUUGCGCCCUUUGGUAUUCCGAAGGGCAUGCCUGUUCGAGCGUCAUUAUAACCCCUCAAGCCUACGCUUGGUGUUGGGACCCGCGCCUAGCGGUCCCUAAAACCAGUGGCGGUGCUUCAGAGCUCUACGCGUAGUAAUUCUUCUCGCGACGGACCCUCUGCGGCCACUUGCCAGCAACCCCAAUUUUCUCAGGUUGACCUCGGAUCAGGUAGGGAUACCCGCUGA
This 313-nucleotide unclassified non-coding RNA is filed under the name uncultured fungus. Its description in RNAcentral is "partial contains 5.8S ribosomal RNA and internal transcribed spacer 2". The stretch from base 1 to 133 matches the Rfam family "5.8S ribosomal RNA", at positions 22 to 154 of the family's 154-position model. The record is from RNAcentral. Lineage: Eukaryota; Fungi.